This 381-nucleotide ribosomal RNA is filed under the name Anoxybacillus andreesenii. RNAcentral's name for it is "bacterial SSU rRNA". It matches the Rfam family "Bacterial small subunit ribosomal RNA", at positions 1 to 370 of the family's 1533-position model. The record is from RNAcentral. Lineage: Bacteria; Bacillati; Bacillota; Bacilli; Caryophanales; Anoxybacillaceae.
UUAUUGGAGAGUUUGAUCCUGGCUCAGGACGAACGCUGGCGGCGUGCCUAAUACAUGCAAGUCGAGCGAUAUCUUUGGGGGCUUGCCCCCGAAGAUGUAGCGGCGGACGGGUGAGUAACACGUGGGCAACCUGCCUGUAAGACUGGGAUAACUUCGGGAAACCGGAGCUAAUACCGGAUAACUCAAGAAACCACAUGGUUUCUUGCUAAAAGAUGGCUCCGGCUAUCACUUACAGAUGGGCCCGCGGCGCAUUAGCUAGUUGGUGAGGUAAUGGCUCACCAAGGCGACGAUGCGUAGCCGACCUGAGAGGGUGAUCGGCCACACUGGGACUGAGACACGGCCCAGACUCCUACGGGAGGCAGCAGUAGGGAAUCUUCCGCA